CAAAAAUUAAAGAAACUGGUAACUUAGGUUUUAGGCCAUAUUUAAUUUUUCUAGUAGCUUCCGUUUGAUAAAAGAUUCUUCAAAAACUAAUAAUGUUCUUUUUAUUUUUUUCAGGGUAGAAUUAAGUUGUAAAUAGUUGGUAGUAGUAGUUUUAGUAUUAGUUAUUGUUAGUUAGCUUUAGUAUUUAUUAAUUUAGUAAGUAGUAUGAACACGUGAGCCAGCUUUUAAAAAAAGCUGGUGAAAAAGGCCUAAUCUUUAUUGAUUAGGUUGUGUGAGAAUUUGUGGUUGUGGGUAGACAAAUUCUGAAAAUCGUGUUUAAUUAAAAUUA
RNAcentral lists this long non-coding RNA (328 nucleotides) under Bactrocera tryoni. Its description in RNAcentral is "uncharacterized LOC120780902". The record is from RNAcentral. Lineage: Eukaryota; Metazoa; Arthropoda; Insecta; Diptera; Tephritidae.